CACAUGCAAGUCGAGCGCCCCGCGAGGGGAGCGGCAGACGGGUGAGUAACGCGUGGAACGUACCCUUUACUACGGAACAACUCCGGGAAACUGGAGCUAAUACCGUAUGUGCCCUUUGGGGGAAAGAUUUAUCGGUAAAGGAUCGGCCCGCGUUGGAUUAGCUAGUUGGUGGGGUAAAGGCCUACCAAGGCGACGAUCCAUAGCUGGUCUGAGAGGAUGAUCACCCACAUUGGGACUGAGACACGGCCCAAACUCCUACGGGAGGCAGCAGUGGGGAAUAUUGCACAAUGGGCGCAAGCCUGAUCCACCCAUGCCGCGUGAAUGAUGAAGGCCUUAGGGUUGUAAAUUUCUUUCACCGGAGAAGAUAAUGACGGUAUCCGGAGAAGAAGCCCCGGCUAAUUUCGUGCCACCACCCGCGGUAAUACGAAGGGGGCUAGCGUUGGUUCGGAAUUACUGGGGUAAAGG
This 465-nucleotide ribosomal RNA is filed under the name bacterium. RNAcentral's name for it is "bacterial SSU rRNA". It matches the Rfam family "Bacterial small subunit ribosomal RNA", at positions 52 to 566 of the family's 1533-position model. The record is from RNAcentral.